RNAcentral lists this unclassified non-coding RNA (2849 nucleotides) under Zea mays. Its description in RNAcentral is "misc RNA Zm00001eb369600". The record is from RNAcentral. Lineage: Eukaryota; Viridiplantae; Streptophyta; Magnoliopsida; Poales; Poaceae.
CUCCGCAUUCUGGCCGCACCUGAGGUGUAUCUCGUAGCCGCAGGCGAUGCACUGGUACGCCCAGCCGAGUCCCUGCUCCUCGCACUCGCAGCAGAUGUAGGGCCCUCCCCCGGACUUCUCCGACACGAUGCUGAGCUCGUGGCGGUGUCCCCGGUGGCGCAGCGACCGCGGGUACUCCUUGGCCGCCUCGUCCUCCGCCUCCUGCAGCAGCCUGAUCUGCGCGUCCGUGAACGGGAAGGCCAUGUCGAAGUAGAGGUUCACCAGGUUCCGGCCGUCCCGCGUCACCGUCCUGCCGUCGGGCCCGACCACCACCAGCGUCGGGAUCUCCCGCACGUCGAAGUACCUCGCCAGCGCGCGCGACGGCGCGCCGUCGUAGGGGAGCGCCAGCCACGGCAUGUCGCCGCAGGAGCGCAGGUACCCGUCCUCCUCCCUGUCCAUGGGGACGUACACGACCUCGAAGUCCUCCGCCUUGCCCCUGAGGCUGCUGUAGAUGGCCGCCAGCUUCGUCGUGAACUUGAUACACGGCGCGCAAUGGUUAGCCGAGAAGUAGAGCCCCACCGUCUUCCCCACCAGGCUCGAGACCGGAACCUGCAGCCCGGCCUUAGCCGCGGUGAGCUAGCUAGGCCAACACAGCUCGUCCGAUCCAAUCCAACACGCGCGUUGUUCGCUUACCUUUUCAUUAUUACCACUGUUCAUCACGUACUCUUUCCCGCUGACGGAGAAGAGCUUCUCCAGCGUCUGGGACGCGUACUUGCGCUGGUCAUCCGCCUCCAGCUCCGCCACCCUCGCGGCCGUGAACGGGAACGCCCUCUCGCCGUAGCGGUGCACGAGGUCGGCGGCGUCCGGGUGUACCACCGCGCCGCCGUCCGGAGCGAGCACCACCAGGCGCGGGAUGCCCUCCACCUGGAACCUCUCGCUGAGGCGCUUCUUGCAGCUGAGGUCGCCGAAAGGCACCGCUGGCCACGGCAUGGUUCCGUGGAACCGCUCGAACGACGGCCGGUCCUCGUCGCACGACACCAGCACGACCUCGAAGCCGGCGCCGCGCUCCUUGAGCUGCUCGUAGGCCGCGGCCAGCACCGGGGUGAAAGCCUCGCAUUUCGGAUACCAGUUUGCCGCGAAGUAGAGGCCGAUGAUCUUGCCGUCGAUCUCCCGAAACUGAACCUGCCAGGAUGUUCGGUGAGGAUGGAUCUCGAGAAGAAGAUGCUUAUAAAGAAUGACUGGAAGGACCAUGGGUUACGAUUAAAAAUUACUACAUCCAUAUACAGUAGAAAACAUGUGAAAAUAUAGUAAACUCUCAAUCUGCACUUCACCGUGCGAUUCUGAUUCUUGUCGUACGUAGCUAGGGUCAGGGACGGAAUAUGAACUGAACAGUACGUUCCAAAAGCAAAAGUACAGCACAAAUAAUGCUGCAUAUAUUCUGAUUCGAUUUCACGUACGAGCUACAAAAGGAGCUAGGACGUAUACGUGGAAGUUUCAGUGAGGUCGCGACAUGAGCACGUGUCAUGUUGUUGUUAGGCGAGAGAUAAAAAAAAAAUAUGAUCGAUUUAACUGGUACCGGAUUGUCCGUAGAAGUAUGAAGAGUUGCUUGCUAUUAAUUUUUUUUUUCUAAAAAAGAAGGCCCGAAACUUGUAGCUGCUUUUAGGCUUUAUAAUCAUCUAAAGCUCGACCACUAGGAGUCUAGCCUAGGAUGCAUGAACAAACUUUCUUAAACAGUGUUUACCUUCAAAUUUGAAGCCCUCGAAAGCAAUAUCCUAGAUUAACUAGCCAGCGUUGUUUAUAUAUAUACUUGCAUGACACACAAAAUAUGGAUGUCGUUAGCCUAUUAGCAUGUUUAUCUGCGUGUUUUAUAUAUCGAUCCCCUAUUAAGCUCAUCUUCACUCUUGCAUGUGCCAAAUCCUUUCUAUCAGUAUAUAUGAAGCAAACCUUCCUGAGAUAGUUUAAUUAAUUAGGUGUGUUUUAGAUCAAACGUACGAAAUUAAAAACAAAAAAAAAACUGAAGGAGCUAGCAGAUGAGUGAUGAACCUUACUGUAUCUACCCAAGAGCCAAAUCCCUACUAGCAGAGAACGUACAGAGGAUCGGAGUAGAGUGGCCACCGAAGCAGAUGCAGAAGGAAUGAAGACGAGCUGAAGCUGGAAGAGACUUGGUUCUUACCUCGUCCCCGGAGGGAGCGACGAGCGAGGCCGUGGUGAGCACGGAGCGUAUGCCGCCGCCUCCCACCUCCGGCGCGUCCCCCGGAUCUCCGGCCAUGUUCAGUCGGCUCCGUCUCCGGACAAGCGCAGCUCUGGAGACAGACAGACAGGCAGACAGGCAGGCAAGGUGAGGUAGGCUUGCUGCGAACGCUCUCGCUCUCGCUCUCGCCGAUGGAUGCCUGAUGCUAGACUGCGACAGGGCAACAGGCAGGGGGUCUGCGUCUGGCUACGCGUCCCGCGGCCGGCGCCACAGAUAUAAACGGCCAAUGGAGUGCGGCCCUUUGGCGCGUCCUUUUUACGGGGGCGUCCGCGUCAUUUCGGCGGGCAGGGGUAGCCGCUAGGCAGGCGCUGUUGGCAGGCGCACGGCCGAACUGUAUGCGUCGGUGCCUUUCAAACGUGUUGGCAGCAGUGGCACGGCUCUGGGGCGGGCGUGGAGAGGCAGCCUGGCGUGGGAGCAGGUGUCGCGCGGAGAGCGGCGGUGCGUGCGGGCACCCAUGCUUCUCGUCGUGCGGGUCAGUCAGUCACCGGCCGGAGCUGUGCGGACUGGGGUACGUGGACGUGGUGACGUGCGGUGGGUGGAAAACGACGGCACCCAGCUCAAAUCGAUCGCUCCGCGAGCAGGACCAUGGGGGCCCCGCCCCGGGGUUUCUUUGCGGCCC